This 73-nucleotide transfer RNA is filed under the name Ovis aries (sheep). It matches the Rfam family "tRNA". Rfam says of the family: Transfer RNA (tRNA) molecules are approximately 80 nucleotides in length. Their secondary structure includes four short double-helical elements and three loops (D, anti-codon, and T loops). Lineage: Eukaryota; Metazoa; Chordata; Mammalia; Artiodactyla; Bovidae. The record is from Rfam by way of RNAcentral.
UCCCUGGUGGCUUAGACGGUAAAGUGUCUGUCUACAGUGCGGGAAGACCCGGGUUCAAUCCCUGGGUUGGGAA